RNAcentral lists this ribosomal RNA (506 nucleotides) under Psora decipiens. RNAcentral describes it as "LSU rRNA". It matches the Rfam family "Eukaryotic large subunit ribosomal RNA", at positions 95 to 606 of the family's 3401-position model. The record is from RNAcentral. Lineage: Eukaryota; Fungi; Ascomycota; Lecanoromycetes; Lecanorales; Psoraceae.
GAAGCGGCAACAGCUCAAAUUUGAAAUCUGACCCUUUAAGGGUCCGAGUUGUAAUUUGCAGAGGGUGUUUCGGGCACGGUGCCGGUUUAAGUCCUUUGGAACAGGGCGUCAUAGAGGGUGAGAACCCCGUAUGUGACCGGUCGCCAAACCCAUGUGAAACCCCUUCGACGAGUCGAGUUGUUUGGGAAUGCAGCUCAAAAUGGGUGGUAAAUUUCAUCUAAAGCUAAAUAUUGGCCAGAGACCGAUAGCGCACAAGUAGAGUGAUCGAAAGAUGAAAAGCACUUUGGAAAGAGAGUCAAACAGCACGUGAAAUUGUUGAAAGGGAAGCGCUUGCGACCAGACCUGCUCGCGGGUGAUCAGCGGUGCUUUUCGCGCCGUGCACUCAUCCGCGAUCAGGCCAGCAUCGGUUCAGGCGGCCGGAUAAAGACUCGGAGAAUGUAGCUCCCUCCGGGGAGUGUUUUCUAGCUCCUUGUGCAAUAGGGCCAGCCGGGACCGAGGACCGCGCU